RNAcentral lists this long non-coding RNA (5483 nucleotides) under Androctonus crassicauda. The record is from RNAcentral. Lineage: Eukaryota; Metazoa; Arthropoda; Arachnida; Scorpiones; Buthidae.
CUUCGGGGUUGAAACGGCUCUCUCUCUCUCGCUCUCUCUCUCUCUAUUUUUUUUUUUUUUUUAUUUUUAUUGCUAGAGUACAUUUGUUUAUUUUAUAGUCUGACUCGUAGAGGGAUUUUAAUACUAAAACGGAUUAAGAGAGAUAGACUAUCAGCCCAUUUUGUUACCGGCUCCGUUUCGUCCUAUUAGCGUCAGCAAUUUUGACACCAGUUCGUCAAGACUCGUAACCUUUUGUCGCGAUCGUGAAGGAAGGAUUUAGAAGGCAGACAAUGGAUGAGUCUGUUCAGUAUGCGAGGUAUACUGUCGGCUAUUUCUGCUAUAUAAUGACAGUAUUUCAUUAUUGCGGUUGGUUUCUUCGACUCGUCCGAUUAUAUCGUCUUUCAUCAGCAUCAACUUAGGACCUUGUAACCCUUACGUCGCGGCAUUUUUCCACUCCAUCAUAAAUGUGCGUGCGCCAGCGCGCGCCGGCGUUAACGCCAGCUUGAUUUUUUUUUUUUUUUUUUUUAACCACUUUUUAACCAUUAUUUUCUGUAGAAAAUUACGUUAACUCAACCACAUCGGAAGGUGUUUAGACACGGGUUGACAUUAUACAUUUAUUCAGACUACGACAUUACUUGGACGUCGUCCAAUCGUCUACUUUUCUCCAGGUUUUCCACUGGGGAAAGAGGGGGAAAAGAACAAAAAAACGAAUAAAAACACCAACGACGUUGUCAGAUUAUGGUUUUUUUAAGCAAUAAUCGGGUUAAGGUCUUUUAGAGUAUAAAGUUAAUCGAAUUAAGUUCUUUUUGGUGGCGUAAUUAUAUUAGAGAGAUGUGAUUGAAGUGAUGGAUGGUCCGAAAUUUUAAAAUAGGCACCCAGCAGCACUUACACGGGCUUAUAUGCGGAAUGAGCCAAGAUUAUUUAAGCCGGCUGGAAGUAAAAUAAUUCAAUUUUAAUUUGAUGUAACUUUUUAGAUAACUUAUUGUUGGCGUAAUGAGUCUCUCUCUCUCUCUCUGCUUUCUGCUGCUUGUAUCACUUUCGGUAAAAAUUUUUCGUCUGGUAUACAUUAUUAUAGGAUAGGAGAGAUGGUUUCGGCAUAUUUCUGUAUAUGUGUGCGCGCUAACUUUAAUCAGAAGAGAUGCAUUAAAAAAGAAUACAGGGGGAAAAAAAGAGAGAGAGAGAAAAUAUUCUUGCGCUUUUACGACAAAAGCCACUCGCCAUAUUUCAAGCGUUUCGUACAGAUUCAUUUUAAAUUAAAACGGCACGCUCUGUUAAAUCGAGUUCUGCGAAACUAGUCUUUUUGAUUGAGCAAUUGAAGCUCAAAAACAUUUCACAUUGAUUAAAAAGAAUCAAAAAAGGCACGAGAGGAAUAAAAACCGAUCGAUGGGGUUUUAAACAUCACUGAGAGAGAGAAGUACUUUUCUGCCUUUUAUUUUUACGAGCAAGUUUUGUUUCCCCAGAAACGAUUCCGUGUUUUUUAAUUGCAAAACGUUUCGCUUCCGGUUUUUUUCUUUUUUCUUUUUUUUUGGAAGAGUUAUUCGCGUAAAUCGUCCGUGCGUUGCUCUUAACCCGUAACAUUAAAAAAAAAAGGGGGCGCGCAACAAAUACGAAAUUUAUACCGUUAAAAAGACGGGCGAUUUGUUGCCAGAAUGUAUUGUGGGACAUAUUUCAAAGCGGAGGAGAUAUUUAUUCAAUAUAUAUAUAUAUACAUUUCGCGUUCCAUUGAUCGCGUCGCUCUCGCUAACGCGCGUCUUAACAAAUUUGCCAGAAAACGCGCGGCAGUAAAACACAUUUAGAAAGUAAUGUGUAAUAAGGCGAUUGACCUCGCCGAAAUGUGGACAACGGUAUAAACAGUGUGUGGUCCCUUCUUAGCUUACCGAUUUUAUAUAUAGUCUAUAUGUAUUUUUAUUUUUUUAUGUAUUUUUUUUUUGCGCGCGCGUAUCGACCGGUCCCGAAAACGUCGCUUUGGGCAGCCCCCCAACAUUCAGCAUCUGCAUAUCUCGUAGAUUAAAUGGUGUUAGGUAAACGGCGUCGUUGCCAAAGGAAGCGUUUAUCCCGGUGCUCGUCUCUCCGUUAUCAAUGUUCAACCUAUCACUGCCCCGGGCGCUAUCAUAAGACAUCGAGAAAUACCUGAUUACUACACAUUAUACGGACCGGUGUGGUUGCUAUGCCAACGGCUACACCUAUCUAUACCAUUCAGAACGGAAAAGAGAAUCAAAAAAGGGAGGAAGGAAGGAAACUGCGGGGGAACUGUACCCUAAAGGGUUGAACAACUGAAUACUUCAGAACGUAUGUUUCUACAGAUAACUCGUACAAAGCGUUGCCUUUUGUAAAACCUCGAUAUUGCUACUUUCUCUUCGAUAAAGUGUUUCCGUCGAAAAACUUUUUCGCAAAUUGUGCCGCAUACGAUUGCCGAUAGCGUAAGUUGUUACCAGAGAAAAAAAAUAAAAAAAAAUAGAAAAAACUCUCUUUAAAGUUCAAACCCAGUCUCCUCCUUCUCUCUCUCUCUCUGCAGUUUUUGAACUUGGGGUUUUUAUAUACUCCAUCCGACGAAUCUCGGACUAAUGACUCUAUUUAUAACCCGUUUGGGGGAACCAACGAUUCGUCUUUGGCAAGCUCGAUUCGCUAGAAGAGUAUUGAGACGCCAUUCGUUUAUUCCUUCAUUUGAUUGAUAGGGAACAGUUGGGAGCGCUCUGAGCAGCUGUCAUUCUAUUCCUCCUGCAGUCAUCUUCGCGAAUUUCUUCGAAUGAUUUCGGUUUUACGUGAAUUACACUGCCUCUGAUAUCGGAGAUUUCGCUGUAAAUCAACUGGAGAAAAAGUCUCGAAUUUUUCUUUUGUUGACGUCACGUUAUUACCGACUUUCAACCUCCCCCAAGGAGGCCUUUAGUUAACGCAUUAAUAAGCAACGAUUUUAUAUAUAUAUACAUAACACACACACAUACACACACGGAGAGAGAAGAGAGAGAGAUCUCAUUAACAUAAAUCGAUACGAGAAUCCGCAACUUAAUCUGUUUUCUUCGAAAAAUUAAAAGAAAAUGUUUAAAGAACCGAAUUCCAAUAAACAAAUUAAACUAUUAAUCAUGUAUAAUUAAACAUAAAACAUCUUAAUGCCUUAGCUGUAACGAAUUUUGUCAGUUGCCAAGUGCUAUCUACCAUAGUUUAAUUGCUAUAUUUCGACCCUUUUUGGAGAAGAGAGAGAGAAAGAGAGAGUAAUAAUAAUUGUUGUAAUUUCUAUUAUUAAUCGAGACAUUAGUAAUUUAAAUGAUAAUUUUAUUUUAUUUUAUUCGAAUAACUAAGUAGUUUAAUAUUCUUUUCUAAUGUGCAACGAAAGAGCAGAAAUGGGUAACAAAAAAAAAAGAAACCGCCAUUGUACGUUUCAGCCAAUUUGAUAAAGAGUUCUUAAUAUAUAUCAUAGAGUAUAAGUACAGUUGUGUUCGUUUCAAAGAGGGGUGUAUUCUUUGACAGAUAACUCUGUGUUAUUUUUAGUUACAUAUAUGUCUGGGACUCGAUCCAAGUUGUCUCUCUGUCACCACUCGCUGCAUCUUUUUCUCUUUCUGAUGCCGUUUAAACGUUCCCUUUGAUUCCUUUCCACAAAUCUCACGCCGUUUUGAAAAUACUAGUAAUUAUGGUGUUUCCUUAACAUCGUUCGGUUUUUUUUUUCUACUUCUUCCAUCUUAAAUAACAGGGACGUAUUUUUACCCUCUUUUUACUAGAAAACGAAUGCCACACAAUGGGUUUAUGGUAGCUUGGCGUGCACUGACGUCAUUAGACUAUGUCACGGCAUCGACUGAACGGCCCAAUGCACCGUCAAGAGUAAAUUAUUUUUCUCUUCUUGAUGGUUCGGUCAGUUAUUUGUUUCUCUAUCUCCUUACUGUGCGGGGAUCACUUUUCAUAAACCUCAACCAACACAUCCGGUUUCCAUUGGAGGCCAAAAGGGGAUAAGAAAAGGAGAAGAAGAAGAAGAAGAAAAAAAAAAGACUCCAAUUCUUUUGUGAGGUUGUGUAUUAGUGGAUUGUGAACUAAUGGCUUUAUUGCGGGUCCCACCCACCAGUCAAGGGCAGCUUUGGUGCCCAUCCCUGCGUCUUCCAGUGACUUACAGAUAUGUAAAUAGUAGAAGCAUGCACCUGGCUACACCGCACCCACGUCUAAGGAGAUACGCCAAACAUACCAUCGGCAGGUUUAUGUUGUCACCAUCGUUUUUAUGCAUGCCUAGCGCGUAUUACAAGGCACAACCUCCGAGAUUGUCACCUCAGUCAUUGACCCUUUCGGGAAUCACUCACACCCCUUUUGUUCACGAUUGCCGACUGCUUGUUCGGGGUCAGAGAAGGCUGCUCUCUUCGUGUGCUUGUUGCUCGUACUAACCCCAAUCAGUUCGGUCGAGUUCAAAGAACUUUGCUUCCUCGCCGACCUUUGAACCCACGUCUAAUUGUUAGGCCUGGUUUUGUCUCUCUUCCUUCAUUCUCAGCGGGUUGAUUUCUAGGAUGUGGAAAGGUUUAGGUUGUGUUUAAACUGGUCGUGUGUUUAUCGAAAACUGGAAUUGUUUCAGUUCUAUUUUUUCCUCAGUCGUUGAUCAAAAAAUUUUCUAGAAACUCACCGAUAGCUUCAAACGUACAAAACUGGAACUUCACUCGCUAAAAAUAAGAAUAAAAAUCUUGCUGUUUAUCAUGCCGGGUAUACGGAUAUGCUAAUAUAUAUAUAUCUCUCUGCAGUUUCUCAAAAGGAGUGAUUUGUUUGUUGCAUAAGCGGUUAAGAUUAAUUGAUUCUUUAUACUUGGCUAAAGUACAACCGCAAGAAAUCAAUUAAUCACAAUCGGUUUGUGCGGUGACACGCUGCUUUUCAGUACAACUAUAAAAGGCAUAAGCUGCAUAGUUAAAAAUCACUACUCUAUUCAAAACGGUACAUUUAUUAUACAUACAUAUAUAACGUUAUUCGCCGCUAUGCUGUUAUUCAUGAAAACUUAAUAAAGGGAAUAAUAAACCGAAAACUGUUUCGAUCACUUAUCUAAUUUAUUAAAAAUAAAGUUUUAUCGAAUUAUCUUCGUUUAAGUAGCAUCAGUCUAAUGAGGAAUCGCAUCAAUAUUAAUCGUACUCUUUAACUAGCAUGCGAGUGUCCUUGCAACUCGUGACGUGUCUAUAAAAGUUCUUUUAAUUUGUAACAAUUUUAAUUUCGAAUGUUUUUUUGGUAACAGAGCUGUUUUUAUCGUUAUAUCUCAACGUAGAUUUGCCAACGUGCCAUAAUUUCUAUAUGUAAGAGGUCAGACAUCUGCCAAAUAGUUUGAUUCGCAUCCCAAUGGAGCAAACACGAAGGAAAUCUUUUGAAAGAUUAAUAUAUAACAUUUUGUUCUCGCAGAAAAACCAUCAGCUGUUCGAUUAGGAAAACAUUUUAUCCUACGGGUGGGAUAUACGCGAUUUUUCAUCUUAGAAGAUUCAGUUUAACAUUAGCGAUGAAUAUCCGUAGCGUUGAAAAAUCUUUAGACAUAUCUCUUUUUUUUUUUUUGUUUGUUU